Triticum aestivum (bread wheat) is the source of this 241-nucleotide long non-coding RNA. RefSeq lists it as uncharacterized. The record is from RefSeq and is a predicted model, not a curated record. The transcript is spliced from 4 exons. Lineage: Eukaryota; Viridiplantae; Streptophyta; Magnoliopsida; Poales; Poaceae.
GCCGAUUGCAUCUUUGUUCACGGACCUUUGGGUCAUCUGCAGGUUGCAAGGUCAGUUUAAUGUACUGCAACCAGGAUGAAUGUGCAUAAGUCUGGAAUUGAGAUUCCCAAUAUUCACAUUGUCGAUAACAAGAUCAUGGUGUUUAUUGCUGACUCGCCUUUCAGCAGGCAGUGGAUGCAGAUUUCUUGGGUGUUCAGGAGGGCAGCAGCCUCGAUGCGGCGAUCAAGUCACUCCUUAGCGC